GAUGAACGCUGGCGGCGUGCCUAAUACAUGCAAGUCGAACGAAGAAUGUAGCAAUACUUUCUUAGUGGCGAACGGGUGAGUAACGCGUUGGUGACCUGCCCCGAAGAGGGGGAUAACAGUUCGAAAGAGCUGCUAAUACCCCAUGUGGUCAUUAGGAUUAGAUGCCUUUUGACUAAACGGAUUUAUUCGCUUUGGGAGGGACCUGCGUCCCAUCAGCUAGUUGGUAGGGUAACGGCCUACCAAGGCUAUGACGGGUAGGGGACCUGAGAGGGUGGCCCCCCACAAUGGAACUGAAACACGGUCCAUACACCUACGGGUGGCUG
Molecule: ribosomal RNA, 323 nt
Filed under: uncultured Chloroflexota bacterium
Lineage: Bacteria; Bacillati; Chloroflexota
Description: bacterial SSU rRNA
Rfam family: Bacterial small subunit ribosomal RNA
Source: RNAcentral